Non-coding RNA from Tritrichomonas musculus, 74 nucleotides. Lineage: Eukaryota; Parabasalia; Tritrichomonadida; Tritrichomonadidae. The record is from the annotation of a GenBank genome assembly.
GCCUCUGUAGUGUAAUGGAUUUAGCAUAAGUGUCUACGAAAUACUUGGUGUGGGUUCGAUUCCCAUCAGGGGUA